RNAcentral lists this ribosomal RNA (253 nucleotides) under uncultured bacterium. RNAcentral describes it as "partial 16S ribosomal RNA". It matches the Rfam family "Bacterial small subunit ribosomal RNA", at positions 524 to 776 of the family's 1533-position model. The record is from RNAcentral.
UACGUAGGAUCCGAGCGUUGUCCGGAAUUACUGGGUGUAAAGGGUGCGUAGGCGGGCUUGUGCGUCAGAGGUUAAAUCCCACAGCUUAACUGUGGAACUGCCUUUGAUACGGCAAGUCUUGAGUGUGAGAGAGGAUGGUAGAAUUCUUGGUGUAGCGGUGAAAUGCGUAGAUAUCAAGAGGAAUACCCGUGGCGAAGGCGGCCAUCUGGCUCACUACUGACGCUGAGGCACGAAAGCGUGGGGAGCAAACAGG